GAGUAAAAGUCGUAACAAGGUUUCCGUAGGUGAACCUGCGGAAGGAUCAUUAUUGUAUAACCGAGGUGCGAGGGCUGUCGCUGACCCGAAAGGUCGUGCACGCCCGAGUGCCCUCACACACAUCCAUCUCACCCCUAUGUGCACCACCGCGUGGGUCCCCCUUUGGCUUGUUCGGAGGGGGGCUUACGUUUUCACACAAACUUUGUAUGCAGUGUAGAAUGUAUUUUUUGUUUUGCGAUCACGCAAUCAAUACAACUUUCAACAACGGAGCUCUUGGCUCUC
RNAcentral lists this unclassified non-coding RNA (282 nucleotides) under plant metagenome. RNAcentral describes it as "partial contains small subunit ribosomal RNA and internal transcribed spacer 1". The stretch from base 1 to 52 matches the Rfam family "Eukaryotic small subunit ribosomal RNA", at positions 1780 to 1831 of the family's 1831-position model. The record is from RNAcentral.